GACGAACGCUGGCGGCGUGCUUAACACAUGCAAGUCGAACGGAAAGGCCUUUUCGGAGGUACUCGAGUGGCGCACGGGUGAGUAACACGUGGGUGAUCUGCCCUGCACUCUGGGAUAAGCCUGGGAAACUGGGUCUAAUACCGGAUAGGACCGCACUUUAGUGUGUGUGGUGGAAAGUUUUUUCGGUGUAGGAUGAGCCCGCGGCCUAUCAGCUUGUUGGUGGGGUAAUGGCCUACCAAGGCGGCGACGGGUAGCCGGACUGAGAGGUUGGUCGGCCACAUUGGGACUGAGAGACGGCCCAGACUCCUACGGGAGGCAGCAGUGGGGAAUAUUGCACAAUGGGCGCAAGCCUGAUGCAGCGACGCCGCGUGGGGGAUGACGGCCUUCGGGUUGUAAACUCCUUUCGCCAGGGACGAAGCGUUUUGUGACGGUACCUGGAGAAGAAGCACCGGCUAACUACGUG
This 463-nucleotide ribosomal RNA is filed under the name uncultured bacterium. Its description in RNAcentral is "partial 16S ribosomal RNA". It matches the Rfam family "Bacterial small subunit ribosomal RNA", at positions 28 to 507 of the family's 1533-position model. The record is from RNAcentral.